ACUUAAGCCUCUCUCGUCUCUUCUCUUACCCUGGGGUUUAGGGUUUUUCAGUUUUCAUAGUCUCUGAUUGAGGAGAAGGAGAAAGAGAAGAGAGGAGUUUGCAGCCGCUGCACCAGAAAACCAGAGGAUAUGUCUGAUAGCGAAGGAUAUGACUCGGAUGAUUAUCCAUCAAUCAGAGGCUCAGACUCAGAAGAUGAAGAGAGUGGUUCCUCUGGAAAUGAGGACGUUCUCAACACAAGCAACAAUGAUCAUGGUAAUGAUGACGAAAGUGAUAGUUCUGAACUUCAUGAAGGAGUUGAGGAGAGUGAUUCAUCUGAAGAUGAGGUGGUUCCUCGAAAUACAGUUGGUGAUGUCCCCUUGGAGUGGUAUCGGGAUGAGAAACAUAUUGGUUAUGACAUUACAGGGAAGAAGAUAAAGAAGAAGGAAAAAGAAGAUAAAUUGCAAUCCUUUCUUGCUAGUGCUGACCAUUCAGAGAACUGGCGCAAAAUUUAUGAUGAUUAAAAUGAUGAGGAUGUAGAACUGACGAAAGAAGAUAUCAAAUCUAUAAGUAGAUUGCUCGAAGGAAAGGCUCCCCAUGGUGACUUUGAUCCUUAUGCGCCAUAUGUUGAUUGGUUUAAAUGGGAUGGCUCCAAGCAUCCACUGUCAAAUGCACCUGAUCCCAAGAGACGAUUAAUUCCUUCAAAAUCUGAAAGUAAACUGGUUAAUAAGAUCAAGUUGGCCAUUCGCAAGGGUUUGAUUAAGCCUAAAAAGUCCAAAGAGGUGGAGGAAGAAGAAGAAAGUGUUUAUCCCUUGUGGGGAGAUGACUCUAAUUCAACAGAAAAGAAUGACCAUCUAUCUUACAUUCCUGCACCAAAGCCAAAAUUGCCUGGCCAUGAGGAGUCCUUCAAUCCUUCUAUAGAAUACAUCCCAACACAAGAAGAGAUCAAUUCUUAUCAGUUAACGUAUGAGGAAGACCGUCCUAAAUUUAUAUCUAAAAGGUUUACAUCUAUGAGAAGCAUCCCUGCAUAUGAGAAUGCUGUUAAGGAAUGCUUUGAAAGAUGUUUGGAUCUAUUUGUGCCCCCGAGUCCGAAAAAAACGCCUUAAUAUCGAUCCUGAGUCUCUGAAGCCCAAGCUACCAAACCGAAAUGAUCUUAAGCCUUACCCUGUUUCAUGUUAUCUUGAGUAUAGACGUCACGAAGAUGCAGUUACGUCAGUUUCUGUAGAAGUUUCAGGGCAGUGGAUUGCAUCAGGUUUAUUGGACGGAACUGUGCGUAUUUGGGAGGUUGAAACUGGUAGAUGUCUAAAACACUAUAAGAUUGGUGAAGCGAUCAAAUAUGUAGCGUGGAAUCCUAAUCCCGAGCAUUCUAUACUGGCUGUCUCUGUGGGCCAAGACGUACUUCUUUUGAACACUGGUUGUGGAAAUGAAGAAGUACAGAAAAGGACUAAAGAACUUCUCUCUGUUGAGAUGCCUGUGAUGACUCUGGUCACAUCCAGUGUAAGCUGGCUUCAAGAUGAUAAACUUGAGGGAAUCAGAAUCUUAACUGCUUUCUUUGUUGGGCUCCUGCAGACUGUGGCUUCAGUAGAAUGACAUCGUAAAGUAUCCUUCGACAGUGGUGCCAGCUGGUGAAUCAAGAGCUAUUUUUAUACACAAGCUCUCUAAGAAGUUUACCCAGACACUUUCAUUCAAGUUGCGAGGGAUUGCAGUUACUUCAGUUUUCCAUCCUACACUUUCCUUCUUCUUCAUUUCAACAAAGAAGAUAACUCGUGUUUAUGAUCUGGUGAAAGAGGGAAAGCUUGUCAGAAAACUUGAGAUCAGACUACGCGAAGUCUCCUUUAUUGCAGUUCAUCCUUCUGGUGAUCAUAUAAUUGUGGGGAGCAGAGAAGGAAAACUAUGUUGGUUCGACAUGGACCUUUCAUCUAAACCCUACAAAACUCUCAAGUUGCAUCAGAAGGACAUCAACAAUGUGUCUUUCCAUCGCUCGUACCCCCUGUUUGCAACAUGCUCAGAUGAUUGCACCGCAUAUGUUUUCCAUGGGAUGGUUUAUUCAGAUCUUAACCAGAACCCUCUUAUUGUUCCAUUGGAAAUACUCCGCGGUCAUUCGAGCACGAAUGGGAGAGGUGUAAUGGACUGUAAAUUCCAUCCAAGGCAGCCAUGGUUGUUCACGGCGGGGGCAGACUCAGUGGUUAGACUGUAUUGCCAUUGAGAGGAAAAGAAAGCAAACCGCCUUUACCGGAUCAUACUGCAAGCUAUGGAUAUCACUAGUCAGGCCUGAAUUUUCUGUGCUCGAAUUUGUUGUAUGUAUCAUGUGUUUACUGAAUGGUCCGGUCAUAAUUUUGACAGUAUACAACUAUUUCAUUUCUGUUAACCUCGCUAUUUAAUUCAUAUUCCAUUCGUAUUUUAUUGAGCAGAACGUGUUUUGGAGCCUAUGAUUAUUUUUCUAGCAGUAAAGUGUAAUGGUGGUUUGUUUUGGGUCA
Prunus dulcis (almond) is the source of this 2454-nucleotide RNA transcript. It is a transcript of the gene named ribosome biogenesis protein BOP1 homolog, with no coding region annotated. The transcript has 18 exons. The record is from RefSeq and is a predicted model, not a curated record. Lineage: Eukaryota; Viridiplantae; Streptophyta; Magnoliopsida; Rosales; Rosaceae.